CAGUGCUCUCUCCACAGAGGAGAAGCGCAGUCUUCGAAGGGCGUGCGUUUGAAGGCGUGAACCGAGGCUCCUGUAAGGAAGGAGGGGGACCCUGGUUACUCAGUUAAAUGUUCCUAGCAGGUAAGCCUGUUCCUGACAGAUGGUGUUUGUGAGUGAUGCUUGCUCCCAGCUGAGCCGUGCCCCGGGAAACACUAACGGAGGCUGUCUCCACAGAAAACCCCAUCCAACUUGAUGGCAUAUGCUCUGCUGUGGCCUACACCUGUCGGAAGGAUCGAGUUUACAAGAGGAUCCCCCAGCGCCACCUCUAACAGCGGUGUUAAUCACAGCUCACUCGCACACUUCUCUGACUGACUAUGCCAAUGCCCACUUCUGACGGAGCGCCAAGCCUGCAGUUGGGACAAAGGAUCUGCCAGCCUUCCCAGCAGCGGCAGAAGGCGGCGGGCCUCUCCGGCGCCACAGAUGGGGGGCUCCCAGCGGCAGUCUGUGAUCAAGAUCAGGGAGCAGAGCGUGAGCUACGGCCGCCCGGGCUCAAAGGCCGGACUGUAGAACGGCACGCGAGCCCGCUAUCUCUCGUGCCGCAGAAGGCCAAAUUAGACCCCAGAAGCAGCGCCUUGCAGGAGUACCAGGCUGCUCUUCUCGCGGGGAGCUCCGAAGUCAGCGGCACAUCGUCAGAGACCAUGGAGCUCUUCCUCUCUGCCAGGGGAUCUGCUGGUUGUGAAGGUGGAGCCUGGCGUGAUGGAUGUCUGUGCGACAAUGGGCAAUUGUUCCAUGAAUGCUUACCUCGGAGUCCACCGCACGCCCGGGAGUGGGGAUUAAUUAGAGCCUUUUAGUGCAGAGAAUUACGGAGUUGCCCUGCGAAGUCUCAGCCCUUCCCACUGCAGGCACACCUUUUUAUUCCGCUACAGCAUGGCAGGUUAGCAGACGUGACAUUAACAUAUCACUGUGUGUUUUUUUUAUUUCUAAUUAUUUCAUACAGCCAUUGCCCGGUUUACAUCAAAUGCAGUCGACAACGGUCCAUUUUAAAGACCACGUUUUCUAAUGCUCUCUUUAGUGACGGUGCCCAUGCACACAUAUUUGUUAAUGGUCAUGUCUUGACUGAACCUGUGCGGCCCACCACUAGUACUACGCAUUGCUUACGGGCAUAGAGUGAAUAAAUGUCUGCAUUAAUUAUUUGUUUGAAAACA
This 1184-nucleotide long non-coding RNA is filed under the name Scleropages formosus (Asian bonytongue). RNAcentral's name for it is "lncRNA (ENSSFOG00015032772.1)". The record is from RNAcentral. Lineage: Eukaryota; Metazoa; Chordata; Actinopteri; Osteoglossiformes; Osteoglossidae.